RNAcentral lists this transfer RNA (77 nucleotides) under Patescibacteria group bacterium. RNAcentral describes it as "tRNA-Thr". It matches the Rfam family "tRNA". Rfam says of the family: Transfer RNA (tRNA) molecules are approximately 80 nucleotides in length. The record is from RNAcentral.
GCCGAUGUAGCUCAACCUGGCAGAGCAAUCGCUUCGUAAGCGAUAGGUUGUCGGUUCGAUUCCGACCAUCGGCUCCA